RNAcentral lists this ribosomal RNA (207 nucleotides) under uncultured bacterium. RNAcentral's name for it is "partial 16S ribosomal RNA". It matches the Rfam family "Bacterial small subunit ribosomal RNA", at positions 568 to 774 of the family's 1533-position model. The record is from RNAcentral.
CGUGUAGGCGGCUUGGUAAGUCGAGUGUGAAAUCCCUGGGCUCAACCCCGGAACUGCGCUCGAAACUGCCUCGCUCGAGUCCCGGAGGGGAAGGCGGAAUUCCCGGUGUAGAGGUGAAAUUCGUAGAUAUCGGGAGGAACACCAGCGGCGAAGGCGGCCUUCUGGACGGUGACUGACGCUGAGACGCGAAAGCGUGGGGAGCAAACA